UACGUAGGAUGCAAGCGUUGUUCGGAAUUACUGGGCGUAAAGAGUACGUAGGCGGUGACAUAAGUCUGAAAUUAAAGACAGAAGCUCAACUUCUGGAAUGUAUCGGAAACUGUGUUACUAGAGGAUAGUAGAGGAAGUCGGAAUUCUCAGUGUAGCGGUGAAAUGCGUAGAUAUUGGGAAGAACACCAGUGGCGAAAAGCGGACUUCUGGGCUAUUACUGACGCUGAGGUACGAAAAGUGUGGGGAGCAAACGGG
RNAcentral lists this ribosomal RNA (255 nucleotides) under uncultured bacterium. RNAcentral's name for it is "partial 16S ribosomal RNA". It matches the Rfam family "Bacterial small subunit ribosomal RNA", at positions 524 to 776 of the family's 1533-position model. The record is from RNAcentral.